RNAcentral lists this long non-coding RNA (236 nucleotides) under Ananas comosus (pineapple). Its description in RNAcentral is "long non-coding RNA (ACOM_LNC005244)". Lineage: Eukaryota; Viridiplantae; Streptophyta; Magnoliopsida; Poales; Bromeliaceae. The record is from RNAcentral.
UUUUCGAGACACUAUUUAUAUAUGGCUCCGUUUGGAUCGGGAAUUAGUAGGAACUAGUUAUACCGGGGAUAGGUACAAGUAUGAGUUUUUGUAGGAAUAAGGGUAUUUUUUUGUUUGGAUGAAAUUGUGAGUAUAAGCUGGAACUAGAAAAAUUGUGUUUGGAUGGUUUUUGGGAAUAAGAGGAAUAGUUGGUAGUUAUAAAUAGAAAAUAAUAAUAUUAUCCCUAUAAUUGAAUU